GGCCUAACACAUGCAAGUCGAACGCGUGUAGCAAUACACGAGUGGCGCACGGGUGAGUAACGCGUGGAUAUCUGCCUUUUGGUUCGGAAUAACCCCGGGAAACUGGGGCUAAUACCGGAUGGUUCCUUCGGGAUAAAGAUUUAUCGCCAAAAGAUGAGUCCGCGUCCGAUUAGCUAGUUGGUGAGGUAAUGGCUCACCAAGGCGACGAUCGGUAGCUGGUCUGAGAGGACGAUCAGCCACACUGGGACUGAGACACGGCCCAGACUCCUACGGGAGGCAGCAGUGGGGAAUAUUGGACAAUGGGGGCAACCCUGAUCCAGCCAUGCCGCGUGAGUGAUGAAGGCCUUCGGGUUGUAAAGCUCUUUUGGCGGGGACGAUGAUGACGGUACCCGCAGAAUAAGCCCCGGCUAACUUCGUGCCAGCAGCCGCGGUAAGACGAAGGGGGCUAGC
This 450-nucleotide ribosomal RNA is filed under the name uncultured bacterium. RNAcentral's name for it is "bacterial SSU rRNA". It matches the Rfam family "Bacterial small subunit ribosomal RNA", at positions 45 to 539 of the family's 1533-position model. The record is from RNAcentral.